This 444-nucleotide ribosomal RNA is filed under the name Rubramoena rubescens. Its description in RNAcentral is "partial 16S ribosomal RNA". It matches the Rfam family "Bacterial large subunit ribosomal RNA", at positions 1809 to 2596 of the family's 2925-position model. The record is from RNAcentral. Lineage: Eukaryota; Metazoa; Mollusca; Gastropoda; Nudibranchia; Fionidae.
AAAAACAUAGCCAUAUGAAGAUAUUUAUGGUUUAACCUGCCCAAUGUAAAAUUAUUAAUGGCCGCGGUACCCUGACCGUGCUAAGGUAGCGUAAUCAGUUGGCUUUUAAAUGGAGUCAGGUAUGAAUGGGAUAACUGGGUUUAGCUGUCUCAAAUAUAUUUUAUUGAAUUUACUGUUCAAGUGAAAAAGCUUGAUCUUAAAAAAAAGACGAGAAGACCCUUAGAAUUUUUUUUAAAGCAGGAUUGUUUUUGUUAUGAUUUUGUUGGGGCGACAAAGAAAUAAUAACAACUUUCUUUAAUUUAUUAGCCGGAAAUUUCAAGUUAAAAUAAAUUACCUAAGGGAUAACAGCAUAAUUCUAUAAAUGAGUUUGUGACCUCGAUGUUGGACUAGGAAGCUGACAGGUUAGCUGCUUGUCGUGGGGAUUCUGUUCGAAUUUUAACUCCU